CUUGGUGAAUUAAGACCUAAUUUUUAAAUUUAAUACAAUCGAGCUAGUAAAAUGAAUAAGCUUGAAUGAUGACUUCAUGUCAAAACUAUUGAACUGAAUAGCUUGAAAACUUGACUGUUGAGCAAAAGAAUUCACUCAAAAUCUUUUUUUGAACCAUACAGAGCCAUAAUUCUCACUCUAAUGCCAGAGCAUGAAAAAAACCAACGCUUUUUUCUUCAAAUCGUGACAAAAUGGAAGCAUACUCCAACCAUAUGGACGCAGCGUCCUGCUGCAGUAAAAAGCUUAAUUGCUAGUCAGACGGGUUUCAAUUUGUAAUGAAGAUGAAGUACUUAAGUCUCAGCACCUAAGAUUCUAAGACCCUCUUGAGUAUCCCCGAAGACUCCAGGGAACGAACCUGCUACCUUCUCUGUCACAACUUGAGACCGAAGUAUUUCAGAAAAACACCGAUCUACCAUUACUAUGAUUGGAGAUUAGUUCACAAGAUUGAUGUUUUCGUCCAAUUACUAUUACUGUAAUGUUUGAUGUUUAAUUUACGCAUCUUGUAAACACUAAGAUUGUUUUCAACGCCUGUACUGUGGCCACAUAUUAUAGACCCAUAUACUGUAUA
This is a long non-coding RNA of Parasteatoda tepidariorum (common house spider), 607 nucleotides long. Lineage: Eukaryota; Metazoa; Arthropoda; Arachnida; Araneae; Theridiidae. The record is from RefSeq and is a predicted model, not a curated record.